UACGGAGGGUGCGAGCGUUGUCCGGAAUCACUGGGCGUAAAGCGCGUGUAGGCGGUUGUCCAAGUUGGAUGUGAAAGCCUUGAGCUUAACUCAAGAAAUGCAUUCAGGACUGGAUGACUAGAGGACCGGAGAGGAUAGUGGAAUUCCCAGUGUAGUGGUGAAAUACGUAGAGAUUGGGAAGAACACCAGUGGCGAAGGCGGCUAUCUGGACGGUUUCUGACGCUAAGACGCGAAAGCGUGGGGAGCAAACAGG
This 253-nucleotide ribosomal RNA is filed under the name uncultured bacterium. RNAcentral's name for it is "partial 16S ribosomal RNA". It matches the Rfam family "Bacterial small subunit ribosomal RNA", at positions 524 to 776 of the family's 1533-position model. The record is from RNAcentral.